This 814-nucleotide long non-coding RNA is filed under the name Anas platyrhynchos platyrhynchos (common mallard). RNAcentral's name for it is "lncRNA (ENSAPLG00000019234.1)". The record is from RNAcentral. Lineage: Eukaryota; Metazoa; Chordata; Aves; Anseriformes; Anatidae.
GCCUGCCCUCUCCUCUGUUAAGAUGAAGUUUGAAAUAAGGGGGAGGCACAGCUAUGAUGCUGUUAUCUCAUUAUCUCCCUUGGCAGUAGAUCCUUGGAGGAUCUACCCAGAAGGAAAACUUAGACCAGUAUCUUCAAGCUGCUUGUAGCCCUUUCUGCUGGCUACUACAAGAACUGUGAAUGUCAGAGUGGUGAUCAUGCUAAUUGUACAGGAAGAAGCUGUGACCUCCUCAUCCUCUGAAAAUGUUUCCGCUGAGGAUGUGAGAGUACACAAAUGGUGCCAAGCAACUGAAUGCAUGCAGAAGUGGUCAAAACAGCGAGUAAUAGGAAGUGUCUGCAUCUCCUUACAAGAUUUUGCUGCAAGUUUAAACCACACAGAAGAGUGCAACCUGAAUAUGGAUCAUCCAUGUAUGUGGGACCUGAAAGAGUAAUUGCUUGAUUUUCAAAUCCAUCUUGAACGCCUCAAACCUAACACCAAGACUUGAAAGAUUAUCCCAAUCCACUACCAGUGGUCUUUGCUUUCGGUAGAGACCAGGGAAACUUUCUUUUCUCUAUAUCUGCCUCACAUCAAUCAGCAUAUGCUAGGUAAUGUCAGGGAAGAAGUAUACCAAUCAAUACCAAUGAGUAGAUAUUAGCAGUGAUACUACCAAUUUUCCAAAUGUGUAUCUCUAUGUACUAUUUUAAUUUUAAAAUGCAUGUAUGCAGAAGUGAUAAUAGGGAUAUAAUAGUAUAGAUUAGUUUAAUGAUACAAUACUCUUCCCUAAGGGGUGAUAUUUUUCCUCCUCACCAUAGAAUAAAACCAACAUUUCAGUGCA